GAUGAACGCUGGCGGCGUGCCUAAUACAUGCCAGUCGAGCGGACAGACGAGGAUCUUGCUGCUUGCACGUUAGCCGCGGACGGGUGAGUAACGCGUGUAUCACCUCCCUGAAUGUCGGGUAUCACUACGAAAAACGGGCGCAUAUCCCAUAGGAUAUAUUGCAGCGCAGUGUUCGUUGGUAAGAGUCGGCGGUUGUGGCUGGAAUCGCAGGUUAUGCGCUUGUUUGUGUGGUAGUGGCGGACGAAGGCUUCGACGGGUAGCCGGCCUGGGAGGGUGGACGGCGACAUGGGGCCUAAGAGACGGCCCAGAAGGCUACGUGAGGCAGCAGGGGGGAACAUUGCGCAAUGGGCGGGAGCCUGAUGCAGCGACGCCGCGAGCGGGAUGACGGCCUUCGGGUGGUAAACCGCUUUCGCCUGUGACGAAGCGUGAGUGACGGUAAUGGGUAAGGAAGCACCGGCUAACUACGUG
Molecule: ribosomal RNA, 468 nt
Filed under: uncultured bacterium
Lineage: Bacteria
Description: partial 16S ribosomal RNA
Rfam family: Bacterial small subunit ribosomal RNA
Source: RNAcentral